UAAGGAAUAUUGCGCAAUGGGCGACAGCCUGACGCAGCGACGCCGCGUGGGGGAUGAAGGUCUUCGGAUUGUAAACCCCUUUCGGCAGGGAAGAUGGAACGGGUAACCGUUCGGACGGUACCUGCAGAAGCAGCCACGGCUAACUUCGUGCCAGCAGCCGCGGUAAUACGAAGGUGGCAAGCGUUGUUCGGAUUUACUGGGCGUACAGGGAGCGUAGGCGGUUGGGUAAGCCCUCCGUGAAAUCUCCGGGCCUAACCCGGAAAGUGCGGAGGGGACUGCUCGGCUAGAGGAUGGGAGAGGAGCGCGGAAUUCCCGGUGUAGCGGUGAAAUGCGUAGAGAUCGGGAGGAAGGCCGGUGGCGAAGGCGGCGCUCUGGAACAUUUCUGACGCUGAGGUGCGAAAGCGUGGGGAGCAAACAGGAUUAGAUACCCCUGUAGUCCCUGAGCGGGCUGGCAAGGCGCAU
Molecule: ribosomal RNA, 462 nt
Filed under: uncultured bacterium
Lineage: Bacteria
Description: bacterial SSU rRNA
Rfam family: Bacterial small subunit ribosomal RNA
Source: RNAcentral